This is a non-coding RNA of Chrysemys picta bellii (western painted turtle), 214 nucleotides long. Lineage: Eukaryota; Metazoa; Chordata; Testudines; Emydidae. The record is from RefSeq and is a predicted model, not a curated record.
AUGUCUGGCCUUCCACCUCGUCUUCCGGAUUCCAUGACAUAAACCCUAUUGUUUUACCCCUUUUAUCUGUACACAGAUACUCAACGAUUCUGCUUCUCAUCUCCUCAGGACCUGAGAACAAAUGAAUAUUGAUUGAAAGGAGGUUUCAGUAUGAAUUGUUAUACUUGGCUAUCUCUUCUGCUAACACUUGGUCAGCUAUGGCCUUGCCUUCCAA